Molecule: ribosomal RNA, 253 nt
Filed under: uncultured bacterium
Lineage: Bacteria
Description: partial 16S ribosomal RNA
Rfam family: Bacterial small subunit ribosomal RNA
Source: RNAcentral
UACAGAGGGUGCAAGCGUUAAUCGGAAUGACUGGGCGUAAAGGGCGCGUAGGUGGCAAAUUAAGUUAGAUGUGAAAUCCCUGGGCUUAACCUAGGAACUGCAUUUGAUACUGGUUUGCUAGAGUGUUGGAGAGGUAAGUGGAAUUUCCGGUGUAGCGGUGAAAUGCGUAGAUAUCGAGAGGAACACCUGCGGCGAAGGCGGGUUGCUGGGCUGACACUGACGCUGAUGCGCGAAAGCCAGGGGAGCGAACGGG